CGGAAGUUUUCAGAGAUGAGAAUGUGCCUUCGGGAACCGUGAGACAGGUGCUGCAUGGCUGUCGUCAGCUCGUGUUGUGAAAUGUUGGGUUAAGUCCCGCAACGAGCGCAACCCUUAUCCUUUGUUGCCAGCGGUCCGGCCGGGAACUCAAAGGAGACUGCCAGUGAUAAACUGGAGGAAGGUGGGGAUGACGUCAAGUCAUCAUGGCCCUUACGACCAGGGCUACACACGUGCUACAAUGGCGCAUACAAAGAGAAGCGACCUCGCGAGAGCAAGCGGACCUCAUAAAGUGCGUCGUAGUCCGGAUUGGAGUCUGCAACUCGACUCCAUGAAGUCGGAAUCGCUAGUAAUCGUGGAUCAGAAUGCCACGGUGAAUACGUUCCCGGGCCUUGUACACACCGCCCGUCACACCAUGGGAGUGGGUUGCAAAAGAAGUAGGUAGCUUAACCUUCGGGAGGGCGCUUACCACUUUGUGAUUCAUGACUGGGGUGAAGUCGUAACAAGGUAACCGUAGGGGAACCUGCGGUUGGAUCAC
Molecule: ribosomal RNA, 535 nt
Filed under: Escherichia coli
Lineage: Bacteria; Pseudomonadati; Pseudomonadota; Gammaproteobacteria; Enterobacterales; Enterobacteriaceae
Also listed under: 1 other name
Description: bacterial SSU rRNA
Rfam family: Bacterial small subunit ribosomal RNA
Source: RNAcentral